This 332-nucleotide ribosomal RNA is filed under the name uncultured Myxococcales bacterium. Its description in RNAcentral is "bacterial SSU rRNA". It matches the Rfam family "Bacterial small subunit ribosomal RNA", at positions 568 to 898 of the family's 1533-position model. The record is from RNAcentral. Lineage: Bacteria; Pseudomonadati; Myxococcota; Myxococcia; Myxococcales.
CGUGUAGGCGGUCGGGUAAGUCGGAUGUGAAAGCCCCGGGCUCAACCCGGGAAGUGCAUUCGAUACUACUUGGCUAGAGUACUGGAGAGGAUGGUGGAACUCUCGGUGUAGAGGUGAAAUUCGUAGAUAUCGAGAAGAACACCGGCGGCGAAGGCGGCCAUCUGGACAGAUACUGACGCUGAGACGCGAAAGCGUGGGGAGCAAACAGGAUUAGAUACCCUGGUAGUCCACGCCGUAAACGAUGGGUGCUAGGUGUCACGGGUAUUGACCCCUGUGGUGCCGAAGCUAACGCAUUAAGCACCCCGCCUGGGAAGUACGGCCGCAAGGCUAAA